Mustela erminea (ermine) is the source of this 3693-nucleotide long non-coding RNA. RefSeq lists it as uncharacterized. The transcript is spliced from 4 exons. The record is from RefSeq and is a predicted model, not a curated record. NCBI's taxonomy places the organism in Eukaryota, Metazoa, Chordata, Mammalia, Carnivora, Mustelidae.
CGUGGAUGUGGCAGACCAGGACCCCCACCUGCUCCUCUCUUCAGCGUACUCAUGCUCCGUUCUAGGUAGGGUCCAUUUCAACGGUCCGGCUUAUGACAAGGCAAUGGGAUCCCAGGGAGCCUGGAUGACUCUCCCUUGCCCAGGAGUGGGCAGAAGCUCGCCCAUCCCAGUAGGAUGUCUGCUGGCAAAUUCCAGCAGAGGACUCCGUUCCCAGCCUUGCUGCUGCUUCUGGUUUAUAGGUGAGAUGGUCCUCCAUUCAAAGUCAAGUUCGUUUGCCCAGCUUGCACAUCAUGACCUUGGAAAUACACCCUCAUCACUGUCUACUUGACAAGGACAUCCAUACGUGAUGCUCAGCUUCUCUAAUCUCCUGAUGAUGAUGGAGACAUGGAGACGUGGAGACGGCGAAGCUUGGCGAGGCCAGAAGUGUUGUCCUCACAAACCGAGGCAUAUCUAGAACACCCAUGCAGAGGGAGGCAGCUGCCGUAAUCAAUCUGCCAGUCCUUCACAGGUUGGGAACUCCGGUGGCGUCUUUGGAUAUAAGUCACCCACCUGGGGACCAGGGUGACCACUUCCUGGGCAUCCAGUCUGCUGUGUCUACUAAACGCCCACAUCCAUUCCUGGCGUUCCUCAGUUGUGCCCAGGUCAGCAGAGAUUGCCCAACAUUGUAAGUGUCCUACCCCAGGACUGGGCUCAGCGUGGGUAUCAGUGUCCCACAGCAGGUGCUGGGAUGGACUGGAGAAUCUUGGCUUUCUUCGCUGCAGAGAAUGUACCCCAUCAGGGGCCCAAGACGGGCUGCAGAUGUCCCGCCCCACUCCCAACUCCAUAAGAAUUUGUUGUGCCUCCUCUACAGAUGGGCCAGAAAGUGCUGCUCAUUGGACCAAGCCUCCCUGCAGGACAGAAGAAUCGAGUCCGUAAGGAAUUGAGCACCUUAACCACCUGAGCACCACGCAGUUGUUUCCAGAGGGCCAGGCGGGGAGAGAUGUUGCUCAUUCUUUCUGCUUUCUGCCCGCUCACAGAAAACCCAUCACCUCCACACUGCCACUCCCCGAAAGUCAACCAGGGGAGUGCUCUGUGGUCAGAGAGAGGUUGAAGGAUGCUCCCCCAUGAGAUGCUGCCACACUCCACAGAGUGACGUGCUUGUCAUACAGGAUUGUGCGAGACCCUCUUUAGGCCUUGUGGUGGGGCUCUACUAUGUCCCCUGUGUCAUUCUGGAUGUCAGAAGCCCUGAGGGUUAUGACAGAAUGUGACCUUGGCCAUGACAGAGACAAAGGAGCCAUCAGAGGAGGUCCCUGCUGCUUCUAUAAAUACACUGUCCAUCUCUCUACCUGCCUAAGAGGGAUAGGCUAGGUCAGCAGUCGGCUCUUAAUAUACAACAUCCCACAGUCCUGAUUUUGCACCCAGAAGGAUCACCCCUAGGCUUGUUGGGAAGAACUUCAGACACCAUUCUUCUAUACAAUCAUCCUGAGUUCUGGAUGUCCAUAGCUUCCACACUGCAGUCUUCCCGGUGCCUUCAGUACCUUCCUUGCUGUCACCAUAUCCAACAGCAGUAGCACCAAGGAGCGAUCCUUUCACAAGCCCACCACAACAAGUAGCUAACUGAGAUCCAUAGGACCAGUCUCCGGGUUCUCACUGAAAUGAUCUUAUGUCCCUCUGGGGACGCUGACCCUGGUUUGGGAAUUACUGGUUGAGAUGAACAAAUGGAAGCGGACUUCUCAUGGUGUUAUGUACCCACCCACUAAAAUUAGGGCGGUUGGAUGCACCACAUCAUUCUCCCUCUUAACAGGGAUCAAUGGUUCACCCUCUAGAAAUAUGGGGUGCUCCUUCCCAGAACUUCUGUCUGCUGCUCUGAACAAGGAACAUGUGUCAUUUCCUGAGACCACAGCCAACUUUCCCCUGCUCUGGGGAGGGGACCUUAGAGAAUGGUUAUGGGGGGAGGACACAGAGAUCACAUGGGGAUCACAGAUUGAGUACAAGAUGUCCCAGGUUGGGUCUCCAGUGCAGCAGUCCCUCACAUGGAAAGUAGCAUGUAGGAAAUUUAUUAGGGAGUGGUCUCAGCAUCGAGAAUCAUCAUGGGAAGGGAACAAGCUCGUGCAGAGGGAGGAGCAGAUGGUCAGCUUGGAAGCAUCUCUGUGAAGAUCUCAGCCAAUCCCAGAGACAACCUGAGGCUGGGACAAUCUCUCAGAGUGGCCUUGAGUCGUGUGAAGGAGCCUUGCUCUCAUGCCCCAUGUUCUCCAGCCUUUGGACGCACUGCUGUGGAAAAGGACAGUGAUCCUGAAUGACACGGUCAAGGCACGUUCCAAAGAGGGCUGAUGACUGAGCACUCUGCAGGUGGAAACCUCAGCCACGGGGGAGAUCAAUCCUGCAUUCUGACACAGGAGUUGGGUGGCUCAUCCCAGCAUCCGCUGCACAAAAGGAGAGUCAAUUUUGAGCACAUUUCUGUGCAAGGGGCAGAACCUUGCCUCCCUGCUUAGGAACAUGUGGCCUCCAGAUACCAGAACUCAUUUCAGAAACUCCAAUUUCCCCAGGAGGGUGAGUGUGGGCAACUGUGGUGGGCAUCAUUGGGCAUGUGCUUGGGCCUCACUGGGUAGACAUGGUGGGGAGGAUACUGUAGGAUACUAACCCUCAUGUGAAGGACACCCCUGAGGAUCUUCAAUCCCUCUUUCUUCUCAUGUUUCCAUACUUAUCUCAAGCCCAAAUGCAUCUCCAUGACACUGUCUCCUUUCUGCCCUAGUCUAUCCCAUCUGUCUUUCUCCUGUAGUCCUCCUGUUUUGUGAACUAUGGCUCCCAGCUGUUCUCCGCAUGGUGUUGGGGACCACUCCUUGUAGCCUCUGUGGCCAGCUGAUGGGCCUCUGUGGGCCAGUAUGAUGCCCUAUGGAACAGAGAAGGUGACCACGUGUCCUGUUGGUUUGGAUCUGAGGUAGGACAGUGAGCAACCCCUGCAGAUGUUUCUGGUGGCCUCCCCCAAGAGGAGCAAAGGAUCGUGUGCCAGAAUCAUGUGCCAGGUUGAAAGCUACCAUGGCAGGUACAAAGGGUAAGUUGAGCUGCUCUAUCUACCAAACAGGCCAGACACCUAAGACGACUGGGGAUGUGGGAGGGCUCGCCACCCUUGCCUCUCUCUGCCUCUCUCCAAUUAAUUCAUAAAUUCAGUGAAAUCCCCAUAAAAAUCCCAUUGGACAAUUUGAGCAAUUUAAUAUACCUACUCUAUCAUUUUUAUAGAAUAAUAAAAAUCUAUAAAAGACUUUGGUAAACAUUUUUGGACACAAAGAUAAUUUAACAAAGAAAAACAAGGAGGGGUCUUAUGUCAUCAGAUAUUGCCAGAGCAAUGAAGGUGGUGUAAUGUAUGUGUAAAAUCAAGCAAAACAAGGAACGAAACAGAGAGAUCCUAAGCAGGCCCCAUGUACGUAUGGAAACUGAAAGUUGACCCCACCAGAUAAUGGGGAUGGAUGACCUCUUUAGCACAUAAUGUUGGGCCUACUCUCCAGAGGGAAAAAAGUCAGAUCUAUACUUAAUAUCAAAUGUAAAGUUGGACUCUCGUAGACCUGAUCCAUGAAAAACAAAAGACUAUAAAAUCAAGGGAAGAUACUCUAGGAGAUUUUCGUCGUGACUUUGGGGUUGGGAAGGGCUUCUUACACAAACACAAAUUAAAAGGUGAAAAAACAGGGGCACCCGGGUGGCUCAGUGGGUUAAGCCUCU